GAUGAACGCUGGCGGCGUGCCUAAUACAUGCAAGUCGAGCGAACAGACGAGGAGCUUGCUCCUUUGACGUUAGCGGCGGACGGGUGAGUAACACGUGGGUAACCUACCUAUAAGACUGGGAUAACUUCGGGAAACCGGAGCUAAUACCGGAUAAUAUUUCGAACCGCAUGGUUCGAUAGUGAAAGAUGGCUUUGCUAUCACUUAUAGAUGGACCUGCGCCGUAUUAGCUAGUUGGUAAGGUAACGGCUUACCAAGGCAACGAUACGUAGCCGACCUGAGAGGGUGAUCGGCCACACUGGAACUGAGACACGGUCCAGACUCCUACGGGAGGCAGCAGUAGGGAAUCUUCCGCAAUGGGCAAAAGCCUGACGGAGCAACGCCGCGUGAGUGAUGAAGGUCUUCGGAUCGUAAAACUCUGUUAUUAGGGAAGAACAAACGUGUAAGUAACUGUGCACGUCUUGACGGUACCUAAUCAGAAAGCCACGGCUAACUACGUG
This 497-nucleotide ribosomal RNA is filed under the name uncultured bacterium. Its description in RNAcentral is "partial 16S ribosomal RNA". It matches the Rfam family "Bacterial small subunit ribosomal RNA", at positions 28 to 507 of the family's 1533-position model. The record is from RNAcentral.